UGCGGCUGGAACACCUCCUUUCUAGAGACAAAAAAAAGAAAAUAGACCCUUACUCUCGCUGUUAAUUCAAAAAAAAAAAGACUUAAAAUACAGAGUCUCGUAGCUCAGCUGGUUAGAGUACUACACUGAUAAUGUAGGGGUCGGCAGUUCGAGUCUGCCCGGGACUACAAACAAAUUUGAAAAUUGAUUAAUUUGAAAAUUUAAAAAAAUUAAGUUUAAAAGGAAAUUCUAGAAGCGAAUUUUGAAUUAUAAAUUUUAAAUCAUGAAUUUGAAAAAUAAUUCAAAAUAUAUAAAUCAACAUUCAAAAUAGAAAAAGAAUGGGGGAUUAGCUCAGCUGGCUAGAGCGCCUGCCUUGCACGCAGGAGGUCAUCGGUUCGACUCCGAUAUUCUCCACCAAAUUGAUUUGAAAAUGAAUUGAUUUCAAAAUUUGAAAAUGAAUAACAUCUUCAAAUUAACGAAUCAUGAAAUCUUCAAAUUGAAUAAAGUUCAUUGACAUAUUGAGAUAAACAUACAAACAAGUAGAAAGAACACUUUAGUAAUUAGUACAGAGUGAAUAGUAAUUAGUCUUAGGGCUAGUCACUAAUUACUAAGAACUAAUCACUAAAAAAAAGAAAACAAUAAGCAAAAUAAGGGCGUAUGGGGAAUCUAGAUGC
Molecule: transfer RNA, 653 nt
Filed under: Flavobacterium columnare
Lineage: Bacteria; Pseudomonadati; Bacteroidota; Flavobacteriia; Flavobacteriales; Flavobacteriaceae
Description: partial 16S-23S ribosomal RNA intergenic spacer
Rfam family: tRNA (bases 320-393)
Source: RNAcentral